Molecule: ribosomal RNA, 437 nt
Filed under: uncultured bacterium
Lineage: Bacteria
Description: bacterial SSU rRNA
Rfam family: Bacterial small subunit ribosomal RNA
Source: RNAcentral
GGGCUCACACAAGCGGUGGAGGAUGUGGCUUAAUUCGAGGCUACGCGAAGAACCUUACCUAGACUUAACAUGUUUGAGAAUCUCUGUGAAAGCAGAGAGUGCCUUUCGGGGAACUCUUACGUAGGUGCUGCAUGGCUGUCGUCAGCUCGUGUCGUGAGAUGUCGGGUUAAGUCCCUUAACGAGCGAAACCCUUAUCUUCAGUUGCCAGCGAGUAAUGUCGGGGACUCUGGAGAGACUGCCGGUGUUAAACCGGAGGAAGGUGGGGAUGACGUCAAGUCCUCAUGGCCUUUAUGUCUAGGGCUGCACACGUCCUACAAUGCAACGUACAAAGCGACGCGAAAUCGCGAGAUCAAGCAAACCGCACAAAACGUUGCCCAGUUCGGAUUGCAGGCUGAAAUUCGCCUGCAUGAAGCCGGAAUCGCUAGUAAUCGUAGGUC